This 413-nucleotide ribosomal RNA is filed under the name uncultured bacterium. RNAcentral describes it as "bacterial SSU rRNA". It matches the Rfam family "Bacterial small subunit ribosomal RNA", at positions 505 to 916 of the family's 1533-position model. The record is from RNAcentral.
GUGCCAGCCGCCGCGGUAAUACGUAGGGUGCGAGCGUUAAUCGGAAUUACUGGGCGUAAAGCGUGCGCAGGCGGAUUGUUAAGCAAGACGUGAAAUCCCCGGGCUUAACCUGGGAAUGGCGUUUUGAACUGGCAGUCUAGAGUGCGUCAGAGGGGGGUGGAAUUCCACGUGUAGCAGUGAAAUGCGUAGAGAUGUGGAGGAACACCGAUGGCGAAGGCAGCCCCCUGGGAUGACACUGACGCUCAUGUACGAAAGCGUGGGUAGCAAACAGGAUUAGAUACCCUGGUAGUCCACGCCCUAAACGAUGUCAACUGGUUGUUGGGGGAGUGAAAUCCCUUAGUAACGAAGCUAACGCGUGAAGUUGACCGCCUGGGGAGUACGGUCGCAAGAUUAAAACUCAAAUAAAUUGACGG